RNAcentral lists this unclassified non-coding RNA (225 nucleotides) under Hevea brasiliensis (rubber tree). Lineage: Eukaryota; Viridiplantae; Streptophyta; Magnoliopsida; Malpighiales; Euphorbiaceae. The record is from RNAcentral.
CGGAUGUAGGAUUCGUCUGUUCUACUAAAUUCUUUCAUGAAGAUUUUUAUUCAUUCAAUGUGUAAAUUUGGUAUUCUGGAUAUCCAUGACCAAUUCCACCAAGAUCAUGAAGUCCGACCGCUUCCAAUCAUUACUCGACGGUUUUCAACAAUUGGAAAUCUCAUAUGCAGCAUUCUUUCCACUCUCAUCUGUUGAUGCAACUGUGCAUAAUCCCGUCAUUAAUGA